GAUGAACGCUGGCGGCGUGCUUAACACAUGCAAGUCGAACGAAGCACCUUAAUUUGAUUCUUCGGAUGAAGAUCUUGGUGACUGAGUGGCGGACGGGUGAGUAACGCGUGGGUAACCUGCCUCAUACAGGGGGAUAACAGUUAGAAAUGACUGCUAAUACCGCAUAAGCCCACGACCCGGCAUCGGGUUGAGGGAAAAGGAGCAAUCCGCUUUGAGAUGGCCUCGCGUCCGAUUAGCUAGUUGGUGAGGUAACGGCCCACCAAGGCGACGAUCGGUAGCCGGACUGAGAGGUUGAACGGCCACAUUGGGACUGAGACACGGCCCAG
RNAcentral lists this ribosomal RNA (326 nucleotides) under uncultured bacterium. RNAcentral's name for it is "bacterial SSU rRNA". It matches the Rfam family "Bacterial small subunit ribosomal RNA", at positions 28 to 334 of the family's 1533-position model. The record is from RNAcentral.